UGGGUUAGUGGCGAACGGGUGAGUAACACGUGAGUAACCUGCCCUCCACUUUGGGAUAACUCCGAGAAAUCGGGGCUAAUACUGGAUAUGACCUUGGCCCGCAUGGGUUGUGGUGGAAAGUUUUUCGGUGGGGGAUGGGCUCGCGGCCUAUCGGUUUGUUGGUGAGGUAGUGGCUCACCAAGGCGAUGACGGGUAGCCGGCCUGAGAGGGCGACCGGCCACACUGGGACUGAGACACGGCCCAG
Molecule: ribosomal RNA, 244 nt
Filed under: uncultured Actinomycetales bacterium
Lineage: Bacteria; Bacillati; Actinomycetota; Actinomycetes; Actinomycetales
Description: partial 16S ribosomal RNA
Rfam family: Bacterial small subunit ribosomal RNA
Source: RNAcentral